GAGAUUCGUUGAGAAGUGCCACCACAAGUAGGCUACACGACUCCUUUGGUGUCACGGUGAAUCUCUCACCGGCUCUCUGAUAAUAAAGCACCUGCCGUUGUACCGAAACUUGUGCCAUCUGGAUUUGUGAAAGAAUUACUCCAACAUUUGGUGCUGUGACUCAGACCUCAACAUAGGGAACGUCUCACGGGGCUGAGUGACAGGAAAAUCUGAAUUGGACAGAACCAAGCUGUAAGGGCACCACAAGGUAUUUUACCCCAGACUGCUCCUUGUGAUCUGUCCCUCGCCCUGUGGAACUGGUACCUUGAAGAGGUUGCGUGAACCAACCGGACCCAGCUUGUAAGGCCUUAUGGUUACUAUCCAGCCUAGCGGUGAUCAAAUGCUCAGCCCUGACUGGUGCUGCUGACAGAAUCUUCAAGGGCAAUGCAUAAGCAGAUGCUGCCGCCAAGUAGGCAGCCUUAAACCUCACUUUCCUGGUCCCAUUGGGUUCCCAGCAACACAGAGUCACAAAAAGAAUAAGGGCAGAAAUGCCAGACCUGGGUGAGAUACAUCAUUUACAGAGGACGCCCCUACAGAGGAGCACAGACUGUGGGUCACAGAUGGGGUGCACCCUUGAUGCUCAUACCAAACUGUGGAUAACCCCUGCCAGAAAGAUUCACAGGUAUGCCAGGCUUACCGAGAGAGUGACGAUCUGUCUGAGGGGGACCACCCCGCUGCCAAACCGGGGGACUUCAUCCUGAUAAAGGACUGGGAAUGAAAGAAACUGGGACCAAGAUGGAAAGGACCGUUUCAGAUGCGGCUGACCACUCCCACGGCUGUGAAGAUACAAGGGUAGCCCCAGUGGAUACACAAAACUGACUCCAAAAGAAUCAGCGCAGAAACAAACACUGAUAAGGACAAAGAUGUUUUCUAUAUUUGUGACUUUGGUGACUUUGGGAAAUGGGGCCUUGAGAACAGAUGUAUUUCAAACUGACACCCCUAUGCAUAACAACUUUUUGCAUCUGGCCCUACCAGACAGCCCAUGUAAUGGGGAGAGAUGCCCCCUGCUGGGAAUGUGCCCAUGCCACCCCACUCGGGGGCGAAUCCCGUUGUGGCCCGUACCUUUUUGCUUGUGAUCUUGCUAACACUGAUGAUGCAUGGGAAUGGCAGCCGGCAGGGUAUAACCUGACCUUAUUCAGGGAUUGUUAUUGCCCUAAUUACAACCAAUCACAUAGACCUCCCCUGCCCCCCUACCCCUUGUCGUUCUCAGCAACACCAUCAACUACAUCAUUUGUUUCAGGUGGGAAGGGAAACCCUGUAAAGGUACUUAGGUCGGGACGAGGAAGUGCUGUUUUGCUACCCCCUGGGUCGAACCUGUUCAGAACCUAACAAAAUAUGGCUACUUUGUAUUUGAUUGGUCUGCUGUCCCAAACAGAAGAUCAGGCUGCCUCUGGAAUAACCCUGCUCCCAGGUUGUGGGGUGGGGGGGGGCGGGCACUUUCCACCUUAACAGCUUACAAUGACACAUAUUUUAUUUACA
Molecule: long non-coding RNA, 1518 nt
Organism: Chiloscyllium plagiosum (whitespotted bambooshark)
Lineage: Eukaryota; Metazoa; Chordata; Chondrichthyes; Orectolobiformes; Hemiscylliidae
Source: RefSeq, a predicted model, not a curated record